AAGAGGGCAAGUGGUUGUGCUCCAUAUCACUUAAGGAUGUUUUCACUUUGUAUAGCAUGUAUCCGUUUGUCUUCCCCCUUUCAGAAGUCACCAGUCUUCUCUACAUGGAAUGGACCAGAAACAGACAGAUCAUCCAGAAGCUACAGUUACAGCAGAACAGAGCUGCUUGAUUGCUUAACAGCACAUUCUCAUGAGACAAAGUGACAUCUGUGCCCCAUGUUUUGCACAUCUUCCUGAACCAUUCACAGCAUGUUUUCCAGAAAGGCAUCCAGUCUUGACUUGAAGAUGGAGAAUCUACAACAUCCCAUGAUAGUUUGUUCCAG
Mauremys reevesii (Reeves's turtle) is the source of this 323-nucleotide long non-coding RNA. RefSeq lists it as uncharacterized. Lineage: Eukaryota; Metazoa; Chordata; Testudines; Geoemydidae. The record is from RefSeq and is a predicted model, not a curated record. The transcript has 3 exons.